GGGGACGUAGCUCAGUGGCAUAGCUCCUGCCUGGCAAGCAGGAGGCCAAGUAAAGCUUCCUCGUUCCUA
RNAcentral lists this transfer RNA (69 nucleotides) under Fukomys damarensis (Damara mole-rat). It matches the Rfam family "tRNA". Rfam says of the family: Transfer RNA (tRNA) molecules are approximately 80 nucleotides in length. Their secondary structure includes four short double-helical elements and three loops (D, anti-codon, and T loops). Further hydrogen bonds mediate the characteristic L-shaped molecular structure. tRNAs have two regions of fundamental functional importance: the anti-codon, which is responsible for specific mRNA codon recognition, and the 3' end, to which the tRNAs corresponding amino acid is attached (by aminoacyl-tRNA synthetases). tRNAs cope with the degeneracy of the genetic code in two manners: having more than one tRNA (with a specific anti-codon) for a particular amino acid; and 'wobble' base-pairing, i.e. permitting non-standard base-pairing at the 3rd anti-codon position. Lineage: Eukaryota; Metazoa; Chordata; Mammalia; Rodentia; Bathyergidae. The record is from Rfam by way of RNAcentral.